Molecule: ribosomal RNA, 387 nt
Filed under: uncultured soil bacterium
Lineage: Bacteria
Description: bacterial SSU rRNA
Rfam family: Bacterial small subunit ribosomal RNA
Source: RNAcentral
AGAUUGAACGCUAGCGGGAUGCUUUACACAUGCAAGUCGAACGGCAGCGCGGACUUCGGUCUGGCGGCGAGUGGCGAACGGGUGAGUAAUAUAUCGGAACGUGCCCAGUAGCGGGGGAUAACUACGCGAAAGCGUGGCUAAUACCGCAUACGCCCUACGGGGGAAAGGGGGGAUUCUUCGGAACCUCUCACUAUUGGAGCGGCCGAUAUCAGAUUAGCUAGUUGGUGAGGUAAAGGCUCACCAAGGCGACGAUCUGUAGCUGGUUUGAGGAGGACGACCAGCCACACUGGGACUGAGACACGGCCCAGACUCCUACGGGAGGCAGCAGGUGGGAAUUUGGACAAGUGGGGGAAACCCUGAAUCCAGCCAUCCCGCGUGUGCGAUGAA